This 815-nucleotide ribosomal RNA is filed under the name Viridiplantae environmental sample. Its description in RNAcentral is "LSU rRNA". It matches the Rfam family "Eukaryotic large subunit ribosomal RNA", at positions 399 to 1122 of the family's 3401-position model. The record is from RNAcentral. Lineage: Eukaryota; Viridiplantae.
GUGAAAUUGUUGAAAGGGAAACGAUAGGGGCGAGUAUUGGUGUGUGUGUGGUGUGUAUUUGUAUAAUGCUUUUAAUAGCAUGAUGAUUGCACGCCUGCACGGCCGAGUCAAUGCCAGUUGGGGCAGCCAGACACGAUCCAGUUCAAGGUGGGGCCCGUCUUGUGGCAGGCUCUUUACAGGCUCUGGCAUCUCUUGGCAGCUGCGACUGGGUAGCGUGGGGACGACGGUUGCAUGCUUGUUUGCUUGAAUAGAUAGCAAUGUCACAAUCAAUCAAACAACAAAACAACCACACCAACCCACGCGCCUUUGACGAAAUGGCCCCUAACGACCCGUCUUGAAACACGGACCAAGGAGUCUAACAAUGCUGCAAGCAUUAGAGUGGCAAACUCGCAAUGCGCAACGAACGUGAAUCCUGCCAGUCAGAGUAAUAGUAGUAAUAUUAUCACUCUGAUGCAGCAGGGGCGGCUGUAAUAUCAAAUUACACCACCGCUCGAGCAGCAUUGUUGGGACCCGAAAGGCGGUGAACUAUGCCUGACUAGGGCGAAGCCAGAGGAAACUCUGGUGGAGGCUCGCAGCCGUUCUGACGUGCAAAUCGAUGGUCAAAGUUGGGUAUAGGGGCGAAAGACUAAUCGAACCGCCUAGUAGCUGGUUCCCUCUGAAGUUUCCCUCAGGAUAGCAGGUGCAAGAGUGUAGUUUUGUCAGGUAAAGCGAAUGACUAGAGGUCUUGGGGCAGUAACUGCCUCAACCUAUUCUCAAACUUUAAAUGGGCAAGGCGGUGGCUGUUGCGUUGAUAGUCAUAUUUAUGUAUGAUUCGG